This 481-nucleotide ribosomal RNA is filed under the name Escherichia coli. RNAcentral describes it as "bacterial SSU rRNA". It matches the Rfam family "Bacterial small subunit ribosomal RNA", at positions 127 to 603 of the family's 1533-position model. Lineage: Bacteria; Pseudomonadati; Pseudomonadota; Gammaproteobacteria; Enterobacterales; Enterobacteriaceae. The record is from RNAcentral.
UGCCUGAUGGAGGGGGAUAACUACUGGAAACGGUAGCUAAUACCGCAUAACGUCGCAAGACCAAAGAGGGGGACCUUCGGGCCUCUUGCCAUCGGAUGUGCCCAGAUGGGAUUAGCUAGUAGGUGGGGUAACGGCUCACCUAGGCGACGAUCCCUAGCUGGUCUGAAAGGAUGACCAGCCACACUGGAACUGAAACACGGUCCAGACUCCUACGGGAGGCAGCAGUGGGGAAUAUUGCACAAUGGGCGCAAGCCUGAUGCAGCCAUGCCGCGUGUAUGAAGAAGGCCUUCGGGUUGUAAAGUACUUUCAGCGGGGAGGAAGGGAGUAAAGUUAAUACCUUUGCUCAUUGACGUUACCCGCAGAAGAAGCACCGGCUAACUCCGUGCCAGCAGCCGCGGUAAUACGGAGGGUGCAAGCGUUAAUCGGAAUUACUGGGCGUAAAGCGCACGCAGGCGGUUUGUUAAGUCAGAUGUGAAAUCCC